Molecule: small RNA, 562 nt
Filed under: Pongo abelii (Sumatran orangutan)
Lineage: Eukaryota; Metazoa; Chordata; Mammalia; Primates; Hominidae
Description: retained intron
Source: RNAcentral
UUUUCUGCUCUGCGACUCCUUUUGCAGAGGGGGAGCGCCUGGAGGUCCGGAUGAAACGUCUGGAAGCCAAGUAUGCCCCGCUCCACCUGGUCCCUCUGAUCGAGCGGCUGGGGACGCCUCAGCAAAUCGCCAUCGCUCGCGAGGGUGACCUCCUGACCAAGGAGCGGCUAUGCUGUGGCCUGUCCAUGUUCGAGGUCAUCCUGACCCGCAUUCGGAGCUACCUGCAGGACCCCAUCUGGCGGGGCCCACCGCCCACCAAUGGCGUCAUGCACGUCGAUGAGUGUGUGGAGUUCCACCGGCUGUGGAGCGCCAUGCAGUUCGUCUACUGCAUCCCUGUGGGAACCAACGAGUUCACAGCUGAGUGAGUACCCCCCAGAAAAGGAAGGGUUACCCCUAACCUGCCUGUACUCCUGCAAAUCAUGGGGCUGCCAGAGUUCAGCCAGAAACGUGGGCAGGGGGUAGGGGUGGUUGGCCAACAACUACUUUGUUGAGUGUGUUGAGCUGACUGCAUGGGCAAGAAAGAGCCCAGUAAGGGUUUGAUAGUAAGACCCUCACUGCCUGC